This 434-nucleotide ribosomal RNA is filed under the name uncultured bacterium. RNAcentral's name for it is "partial 16S ribosomal RNA". It matches the Rfam family "Bacterial small subunit ribosomal RNA", at positions 29 to 507 of the family's 1533-position model. The record is from RNAcentral.
AGCGAACGCUGGCGGCAGGCCUAACACAUGCAAGUCGAACGAACCUUUCGGGGUUAGUGGCGGACGGGUGAGUAACACGUGGGAACGUGCCUUUAGGUUCGGAAUAACUCAGGGAAACUUGUGCUAAUACCGAAUGUGCCCUUCGGGGGAAAGAUUAAUCGCCUUUAGAGCGGCCCGCGUCUGAUUAGCUAGUUGGUUGAGGUAAUGGCUCACCAAGGCGACGAUCAGUAGCUGGUCUGAGAGGAUGAUCAGCCACAUUGGGACUGAGACACGGCCCGAACUCCUACGGGAGGCAGCAGUGGGGAAUCUUGCGCAAUGGGCGAGAGCCUGACGCAGCCAUGCCGCGUGAAUGAUGAAGGUCUUAGGAUUGUAAAAUUCUUUCACCGGGGACGAUAAUGACGGUACCCGGAGAAGAAGCCCCGGCUAACUUCGUG